This 825-nucleotide ribosomal RNA is filed under the name Longidorus euonymus. RNAcentral describes it as "SSU rRNA". It matches the Rfam family "Eukaryotic small subunit ribosomal RNA", at positions 47 to 869 of the family's 1831-position model. The record is from RNAcentral. Lineage: Eukaryota; Metazoa; Nematoda; Enoplea; Dorylaimida; Longidoridae.
AGCCAUGCAUGUCUAAGCACAUGCCUUAAUACGGUGAAGCCGCGAAUAGCUCAUUACAACAGCCAUCGUUUACUAGAAAAUCGUUGUCCUACUUGGAUAACUGUGGCAAUUCUAGAGCUAAUACAUGCAAAAAAGCUCAGACUGAAAGGAAUGAGCGCAUUUAUUAGAAUAAAAACCAAUCGGGUCUAAAAGCCCGUCGUUUGGUGAAUCUGAAUAACUUUGCUGAUCGCACGGUCCUAGUACCGGCGACGUAUCUUUCAAGUGUCUGCCUUAUCAACUUUCGAUGGUAGGUUAUACGCCUACCAUGGUAGUAACGGGUAACGGAGAAUAAGGGUUCGACUCCGGAGAGGGAGCCUGAGAAACGGCUACCACAUCCAAGGAAGGCAGCAGGCGCGCAAAUUACCCACUUCCAGAACGGAGAGGUAGUGACGAAAAAUAACGAGACAGUCCUCUCUGAGGUCUGUCAUCGGAAUGGGUACAAUUUAAAUCCUUUAACGAGGAUCUAUUGGAGGGCAAGUCUGGUGCCAGCAGCCGCGGUAAUUCCAGCUCCAAUAGCGUAUAUUAAAGUUGUUGCGGUUAAAACGCUCGUAGUUGAAUCUGCGGCCUGGGAGAAUGGACCCCCGAAAGGGUGGUAACUGUUGCUCCUAGCCUAAAUUUUUAGUCUACUCUACGGUGCCCUUUACCGGGUGCUUAGAGUGACUGGAACGUUUACUUUGAAAAAAUUAGAGUGCUUAAAGCAGGCGAAUUCGCUUGAAUAAGGUGCAUGGAAUAAUGGAAUAGGACCUCGGUUCUAUUUUGUUGGUUUUCGGAGCCUGAGGUAAUGAU